RNAcentral lists this ribosomal RNA (494 nucleotides) under uncultured bacterium. RNAcentral's name for it is "partial 16S ribosomal RNA". It matches the Rfam family "Bacterial small subunit ribosomal RNA", at positions 30 to 507 of the family's 1533-position model. The record is from RNAcentral.
AUUGAACGCUGGCGGCAUGCUUUACACAUGCAAGUCGAACGGCAGCGGGGAGGAGCUUGCUUCUCUGCCGGCGAGUGGCGAACGGGUGAGUAAUACAUCGGAACGUGUCGAGAAGAGGGGGAUAACCACCCGAAAGGGUGGCUAAUACCGCAUAAAUUCUGAGGAAGAAAGCUGGGGACCUAGGAAUAGGCCUAGCGCUUUUUGAGCGGCCGAUGUCGGAUUAGCUAGUUGGUGAGGUAAAGGCUCACCAAGGCGAAGAUCUGUAGCGGGUCUGAGAGGAUGAUCCGCCACACUGGGACUGAGAAACGGCCCAGACUCCUACGGGAGGCAGCAGUGGGGAAUUUUGGACAAUGGGGGCAACCCUGAUCCAGCCAUGCCGCGUGUAUGAAGAAGGCAUUAGGGUUGUAAAGUACUUUUGUUAGGGAAGAAAAGUCAGCUGUGAAUAAUGGCUGAUACUGACGGUACCUAAAGAAUAAGCACCGGCUAACUACGUG